This 270-nucleotide unclassified non-coding RNA is filed under the name uncultured fungus. RNAcentral's name for it is "sequence contains ITS1". The record is from RNAcentral. Lineage: Eukaryota; Fungi.
GUAUAAGUUUAUAGGCACAAGGGCCUGCUUAUUACAUUCUAUAAACAUGCAUGGGGGUAUAUGAAAAAACAUAGACCUGAAAACGUAAGGAAAGGAAGAUCAAUCCUCAAACCUGAAUUGCCAGGGCAUUCAGAAAGAUAUCCAGGUCUACAAAAGGUUCACAGGUGGAGAUAUAAAGAUGACAAGUGUGCACAUGCUCCCUAGGGAGCCAGCAUCAACUCAUCAGGUUUAUUUUCAAUAAUGAUCCUUCCGCAGGUUCACCUACGGAAA